GUGUCAGCAGCCGCGGUAAUACAGAGGUCUCGAGCGUUGUUCGGAUUCAUUGGGCGUAAAGGGCGCGUAGGCGGCGGGGUAAGUCUGGUGUGAAAUCUCGGAGCUCAACUCCGAAAUUGCACUGGAUACUGCUCUGCUAGAGGGCUGGAGAGGAGAUCGGAAUUCACGGUGUAGCAGUGAAAUGCGUAGAUAUCGUGAGGAAGACCAGUGGCGAAGGCGGAUCUCUGGACAGCUCCUGACGCUGAGGCGCGAAGGCUAGGGGAGCAAACGGGAUUAGAUACCCCGGUAGUCC
This 292-nucleotide ribosomal RNA is filed under the name uncultured bacterium. Its description in RNAcentral is "partial 16S ribosomal RNA". It matches the Rfam family "Bacterial small subunit ribosomal RNA", at positions 505 to 796 of the family's 1533-position model. The record is from RNAcentral.